AGAGUUUGAUCCUGGCUCAGGAUGAACGCUAGCUACAGGCUUAACACAUGCAAGUCGAGGGGAAACGAUAGAGAAAGCUUGCUUUUUCUAGGCGUCGACCGGCGCACGGGUGAGUAACGCGUAUCCAACCUGCCCACCACUUGGGGAUAACCUUGCGAAAGUAAGACUAAUACCCAAUGACGUCUCUAGAAGACAUCUGAAAGGGAUUAAAGAUUUAUCGGUGAUGGAUGGGGAUGCGUCUGAUUAGCUUGUUGGCGGGGUAACGGCCCACCAAGGCAAUGAUCAGUAGGGGUUCUGAGAGGAAGGUCCCCCAUAUUGGAACUGAGACACGGUCCAAACUCCUACGGGAGGCAGCAGUGAGGAAUAUUGGUCAAUGGGCGAGAGCCUGAACCAGCCAAGUAGCGUGCAGGAUGACGGCCCUAUGGGUUGUAAACUGCUUUUAUAAGGGAAUAAAGUGAGCCUCGUGAGGCUUUUUGCAUGUACCUUAUGAAUAAGGACCGGCUAAUUCCGUGCCAGCAGCCGCGGUAACACGGAAGGUCCGGGCGUUAUCCGGAUUUAUUGGGUUUAAAGGGAGCGUAGGCCGGAGAUUAAGCGUGUUGUGAAAUGUAGAUGCUCAACAUCUGCACUGCAGCGCGAACUGGUUUCCUUGAGUACGCACAAAGUGGGCGGAAUUCGUGGUGUAGCGGUGAAAUGCUUAGAUAUCACGAAGAACUCCGAUUGCGAAGGCAGCUCACUGGAGCGCAACUGACGCUGAAGCUCGAAAGUGCGGGUAUCGAACAGGAUUAGAUACCCUGGUAGUCCGCACGGUAAACGAUGGAUGCCCGCUGUUGGUCUGAAUAGGUCAGCGGCCAAGCGAAAGCAUUAAGCAUCCCACCUGGGGA
This 881-nucleotide ribosomal RNA is filed under the name uncultured bacterium. RNAcentral's name for it is "bacterial SSU rRNA". It matches the Rfam family "Bacterial small subunit ribosomal RNA", at positions 8 to 879 of the family's 1533-position model. The record is from RNAcentral.